RNAcentral lists this transfer RNA (67 nucleotides) under Goniurosaurus luii. RNAcentral describes it as "tRNA-Lys". The record is from RNAcentral. Lineage: Eukaryota; Metazoa; Chordata; Lepidosauria; Squamata; Eublepharidae.
UCCAACAAGACUUGCCAUUAGCACUAGCCCUUUAAGUUAGAAAAGGGGAUCUUCUCCCCCUUAGAGA